Molecule: ribosomal RNA, 380 nt
Filed under: uncultured bacterium
Lineage: Bacteria
Description: bacterial SSU rRNA
Rfam family: Bacterial small subunit ribosomal RNA
Source: RNAcentral
GACGAACGCUGGCGGCGUGCUUAACACAUGCAAGUCGAACGAGAAGAGAUGAGAAGCUUGCUUCUUAUCAAUUCGAGUGGCAAACGGGUGAGUAACGCGUAAGCAACCUGCCCUUCAGAUGGGGACAACAGCUGGAAACGGCUGCUAAUACCGAAUACGUUCUUUUGUCGCAUGGCAGAGAGAAGAAAGGGAGGCUCUUCGGAGCUUUCGCUGAAGGAGGGGCUUGCGUCUGAUUAGCUAGUUGAGGGUAAGGCCGACCAAGGCGACGAUCAGUAGCCGGUCUGAGAGGAUGAACGGCACAUUGGGACUGAGACACGGCCCAGACUCCUACGGGAGCAGCAGUGGGAAUCUUCGCAAUGGACGAAAGUCUGACGGAGCAA